Molecule: ribosomal RNA, 460 nt
Filed under: uncultured bacterium
Lineage: Bacteria
Description: partial 16S ribosomal RNA
Rfam family: Bacterial small subunit ribosomal RNA
Source: RNAcentral
CCUACGGGAGGCAGCAGUGAGGAAUAUUGGUCAAUGGCCGGAAGGCUGAACCAGCCAUGCCGCGUGAAGGUCAGUGCCCUAUGGGCGUUAAACUUCUUUUGUGCGGGAGCAAUAAUGGUCACGUGUGGCCAGACGAGAGUACCGUACGAAUAAGCAUCGGCUAACUCCGUGCCAGCAGCCGCGUUAAUACGGGGGAUGCAAGCGUUAUCCGGAUUUAUUGGGUUUAAAGGGUGCGUAGGCUGUGAGGUAAGUCAGCGGUGAAAUGCCCCCGCUCAACGGGGUGAAGUGCCAUUGAUACUGCCUGGCUGGAAUGCGGAUGCGGUGGGAGGAAUGUGUGGUGUAGCGGUGAAAUGCAUAGAUAUCACACAGAACACCGAUUGCGAAGGCAUCUCACGAAUCCGCGAUUGACGCUGAUGCACGAAAGCGUGGGUAUCAAACAGGAGUAGAUACCCCAGUAGUC